UAGGAAUAUUCGUCAAUGGGGGAAACCCUGAACGAGCAAUGCCGCGUGAGUGAUGACGGUCCUUUGGAUUGUAAAACUCUGUUGUAAAGGAAGAAUCGCAAAGAUAGGAAAUGAUCUUUGUUUGACGGUACUUUACCAGAAAGCCCCGGCUAACUACGUGCCAGCAGCCGCGGUAAUACGUAGGGGGCGAGCGUUAUCCGGAUUUCUUGGGCGUAAAGCGUGUGUAGGCGGUUUGUUAAGUCUGAAAUAAAAGCCCGAGGCUCAACUGCGGUUCGUUUCAGAAACUGGCAGACUUGAGUGUGGUAGAGGCAAGUGGAAUUUCUAGUGUAGCGGUAAAAUGCGUAGAUAUUAGAAGGAACACCAGUGCGAAGGCGACUUGCUGGGCCAUUACUGACGCUGAGACACGAAAGCGUGGGGAGCAAAU
RNAcentral lists this ribosomal RNA (424 nucleotides) under uncultured bacterium. Its description in RNAcentral is "bacterial SSU rRNA". It matches the Rfam family "Bacterial small subunit ribosomal RNA", at positions 356 to 773 of the family's 1533-position model. The record is from RNAcentral.